GACGAACGCUGGCGGCGUGCCUAAUACAUGCAAGUCGAACGAGAGCGACCGGUGCUUGCACUGGUCAAUCUAGUGGCGAACGGGUGAGUAACACGUGGGUAACCUGCCCAUCAGAGGGGGAUAACAUUCGGAAACGGAUGCUAAAACCGCAUAGGUCUUCGAACCGCAUGGUUUGAAGAGGAAAAGAGGCGCAAGCUUCUGCUGAUGGAUGGACCCGCGGUGCAUUAGCUAGUUGGUGAGGUAACGGCUCACCAAGGCCGUGAUGCAUAGCCGACCUGAGAGGGUGAUCGGCCACAUUGGGACUGAGACACGGCCCAAACUCCUACGGGAGGCAGCAGUAGGGAAUCUUCCGCAAUGGACGCAAGUCUGACGGAGCAACGCCGCGUGAGUGAAGAAGGUUUUCGGAUCGUAAAACUCUGUUGUUAGAGAAGAACAAGUGCUAGAGUAACUGUUAGCGCC
RNAcentral lists this ribosomal RNA (459 nucleotides) under Granulicatella adiacens. RNAcentral's name for it is "bacterial SSU rRNA". It matches the Rfam family "Bacterial small subunit ribosomal RNA", at positions 28 to 476 of the family's 1533-position model. The record is from RNAcentral. Lineage: Bacteria; Bacillati; Bacillota; Bacilli; Lactobacillales; Carnobacteriaceae.